AGCGUCUCUCUCUUAAAUUUUCCCCAAUAUCUUUGUAUCUCCAUUUCAGAUGAAUUGUUCUCUUUCCAAGGGUUGAGGAGAACAUGGUCGUGGUUCAAGUGAAGCCACUACAGCCACUGCCUGACAAGUCUUCCACACUGAUAGACAGUGGCAGCAAACACACAAGGGAGGAUGGUGUGGUGGGACAAGAGGAUGCAGGGAGACGGCAGACAGAAUGGAAGCUACAGAUGAAAGAAGAGCAGGUCAAGCCAUGGCAGCAGACAGACAGACAGAGACAGAUUGGAUCAGAAAGUAUUAUUAUUUAGUGAGACAGGCCCACUGGAAGCUGUCAGUCUGCUGCGGCACGUGGCAAGAACCAAGUGUUGAGGAGCACACGUUGUCCCUUCACCAGUCAGCAGGUCUGGGCGGCUCGGAAGUCUCACUACAAACUGGAGAUCCAUUCUCUUGGACACAGCUGGAGUCGGACACAAGAUUCAAGAGGGAGUCAUUUUAACGAGAGCUUCAGGCAGAAAAUUCGAGUGGAUUUUCAUUUCUA
This is a long non-coding RNA of Scylla paramamosain (green mud crab), 535 nucleotides long. RefSeq lists it as uncharacterized. The record is from RefSeq and is a predicted model, not a curated record. The transcript is spliced from 4 exons. NCBI's taxonomy places the organism in Eukaryota, Metazoa, Arthropoda, Malacostraca, Decapoda, Portunidae.